GCCAGGUGUGGUGAUGCACACCUAUAAUCCCAGCAACUUGGGGGACUGAGGCAGGGGGAUUGCAAGUUUAAGGCCAGCCUCAGCAAUCUAGCAAGACCCUAUCUCAA
This 107-nucleotide small RNA is filed under the name Marmota monax (woodchuck). The record is from RNAcentral. Lineage: Eukaryota; Metazoa; Chordata; Mammalia; Rodentia; Sciuridae.